Molecule: transfer RNA, 66 nt
Filed under: Babras sonorivox
Lineage: Eukaryota; Metazoa; Arthropoda; Insecta; Hemiptera; Cicadidae
Description: tRNA-Met
Source: RNAcentral
AAAAAGAUAAGCUAAAUUUAAGCUAAUGGGCUCAUACCUCAUUUAUGGACCUCUAUCCUCUUUUUA